This 29-nucleotide non-coding RNA is filed under the name Homo sapiens (human). Lineage: Eukaryota; Metazoa; Chordata; Mammalia; Primates; Hominidae. The record is from RNAcentral.
GUGGUUUUUACAUCAUAUUCGGUGGCUGG